GAAGCUGAAAUUGCAGGUUAUUUGGGACAUGAUGAUUACACCCGUUCCAUUCUCACCGUGGAGUUCCCUCCCUUUUACUUCUCCACACACGGGUUAUCUCGACCCAGCACCCCAAAUAAUGAGGACCAGCCAAGGUAUUAUCAGCUGAUUGAGAAAGCCAUAGAACCUAACAUGAUCAGUCCUGUGGAAACCGAGACCGUCCAAGGAAUCUUUGAACUGGUUCCUAAAACCCUCAGACAAGCUGUGCCGAGUGCCAAACGCAGGUUUCUUAGGGAAAUGGAGGAGGAUAGAAGAUUGGCUCUGAAGAAAGCUAUACUGGAUUACAUCUUAUUAGACACAGCAGAACAAGAGAGACUGGGGGUACCCAUACCAGUCAAG
Long non-coding RNA from Saccostrea echinata, 378 nucleotides. RefSeq lists it as uncharacterized. Lineage: Eukaryota; Metazoa; Mollusca; Bivalvia; Ostreida; Ostreidae. The record is from RefSeq and is a predicted model, not a curated record. The transcript is spliced from 3 exons.